Molecule: long non-coding RNA, 768 nt
Organism: Chinchilla lanigera (long-tailed chinchilla)
Lineage: Eukaryota; Metazoa; Chordata; Mammalia; Rodentia; Chinchillidae
Exons: 3
Source: RefSeq, a predicted model, not a curated record
CAGAACAGAUGCAAAAACACUGACUCUUCCUCUGCCCCUUAAACUGAAAGUCCUGGGCAUUUGGGGCCUGCAGACCCUGAUCCCCUGACUUGCACACUCUCAACUUCCUUCUGCUCUUUGGGAUCUUUUGUUCCUGCUUCCAGGAUCCAAGAUGAACUAGCAUCCCCCAGAGACCAUCCACUGCUGCUCCUGAUGAAGGAUGCUGGUUGCCUUGGGGGUCCUCACCUGUCCCAGAAGACUACAGAUCAGGCACCCUGAGGUGAGUAGUUUCUUGCCUCACACCACCAUGAUGCUCUGCCUCCUCAUAGGCCCAAAGGAACAAAGCCAAAGCUAAGUGACCAUGCACUGAUACUCCUGAAACUAGACAGCCUGAAAAUCCCAUAUGCCCUGAGACUGGGUUUGUUUUAUUCAUUGCUACAUCCUAAAGUCUUCAGGAAAUGCCCAGUUCCAGACAGACCUUCUACAAAGUUUAUUCUUUCAUGUUGACAAAAUGAAUGCCCAAAGAGCCAGGAUGAACCAGGAGCUAUCAAUAGCUUUCUAAAAGUCUUCAACACCAGGCUGCAGAGCCAGCAAAGCAUUUCACCUCCUGGGAAAGCCAGAAAUUCUCACCUCCUUGUAGGAAAUACUACAGUAUCUACAACCCACUCAGUUAAGAAUUUGUCUCUCUGGCCCUCAAGUUCCACUGGGAAGCCUGCCAGAUCUCAAGAAAGUGAAUGGAGUAAAAAAGAAGAGGAAGGAUGAAUGAGAAAUUUCAAAACAGGGGACAUA